GAUGAACGCUGGCUACAGGCUUAACACAUGCAAGUCGAGGGGUAACGACGGGGAAGCUUGCUUCCUCGGGCGUCGACCGGCGCACGGGUGAGUAACGCGUAUCCAACCUGCCUUUGACUGAGGGCUAACCCGCCGAAAGUCGGCCUAAUCCCUCCUGGUAUCGUCCGCGUGCAUCCAACGACGAUUAAUGACUUCACCGCUCAGGGAUGGGGAUGCGUUUGAUUAGCUUGUUGGCGGGGUAACGGCCCACCAAGGCUACGAUCAGUAGGGGUUCUGAGAGGAAGGUCCCCGACAUAGGAGCUGGGACACGGACCAAACUCCUACGGGAGGCAGCAGUGAGGAAUAGUGGUCAAUGGGCGAGUGCCUGAGCCAGCCAAGUAGCGUGCAGGAAGACGGCCCUAUGGUUUGUAAACUGCGUUUAUGCGGGGAUAAAAUGAGGGACGUGUCCCUCAUUGCAGGUACCGCAUGAAUAAGGACCGGCUAAUUCCGUG
Molecule: ribosomal RNA, 491 nt
Filed under: uncultured bacterium
Lineage: Bacteria
Description: partial 16S ribosomal RNA
Rfam family: Bacterial small subunit ribosomal RNA
Source: RNAcentral